Leguminivora glycinivorella is the source of this 1731-nucleotide long non-coding RNA. RefSeq lists it as uncharacterized. The transcript is spliced from 3 exons. Lineage: Eukaryota; Metazoa; Arthropoda; Insecta; Lepidoptera; Tortricidae. The record is from RefSeq and is a predicted model, not a curated record.
UGUGUCCGGAUGGUACUAAUACGUCCGUACACAAGUAUUACCUUUUCGAUGUUUGGUGGUGAGUGGACGAUUUAAAAGUUCUCUUCACGUAGUUUUCUGGGUGCUGGCGUUUUAAACCAGCAUUUCAGCUUCACUGGCUGGUCGGAUUCUUGCGGAUUUAAACGGAGAAUUCUUAAUAGCAGUGUUGUACCCUUGUUGAUGCUUUGCGAUAUGACUUAAAUCAUAUGCGUGAACGUUGGCGUUCUUUUGUGUUGUCGGACCGACAGACUUGCGUCGCCUGAGACGCGGUCUGUACAGUCAACCCUUGUACUUAUGUCUAAUGUUGUGUCGAAACGUUCCGUCUUGUGUCGUACAUAGACGCAGCCGGUAUAUACGCUUCGUUGUUCUGGUGUUAUUGUCUGUUCUUUGUAUUCUUAGCUGUCACCGAUAUUUGUUAGGGAAAUUUCAUUUAGCUAUAAGCCGUCUUCCGUUAUAUCGCUUGGACGUACAGCCCGCUGUCUGGUAUAGCUCGCUGUGCCGCCAAGAAAUAUAGACGAUGCGACGUAAUGUAGUAAUUUGCCUAAAAAAAAAAAAAGGCUAUUCUUAUCUGGUUUAGUGCGUGGGUUCGAUUUGGAUGGUUUUUUUGUUAUCGAUUAUAGAUUUCGAGUUGUAGCUGUUAUAUUACCCAUAUUUCCUGUAGUUUGGAGCUGGGGACCAGCUCAAAAUUUUGCCUGCGUCAAAAUUUUCUCUGGGGAGGGGAGUACUGUAACAAUAUUUUUUCAAACCUCGUAGGUAUAUUUUUAUUUAGCUGAUAUUAUACUCAAGUAACUAUUGGUUUCGUACAGGCAGAGCCAUCUAUCGGCAGGAUUGUAUUGAUAACCCAGUUUGCUGUUAGCUAGAAUGACAAAAGAUGGCGUGUCGAUCGUCGUUAAUUUAUUUCCUUCCAAAAUCCCUUUUGAAUUUUCAUUUAUUAAAAAUAAAACUCAAUUUAUUAUUGUAUUGUUAGUUUUCGUUCCUUUUUGGAAAUAUUUUAUUACCCUCUUUAAGACAGAAGUUAAAGUUGUUGUCUAUAGGCGAAUGCAUCUCGUCACGUAUCUGUGGGCCGAGCUGUCAGCCGACACUUUGCAUAUUGGAAAGGAUGUAGACGGGUGGUUUUCAAAUUCUUCAGGGCCAAUGCGCCACAUUCUAAUUUUUAAAUCGCGAAUUAAUCGCAUAAUCAUGAUUUUAAUUUUAUAAAAUUACUGAGGACCCCUUCCAUUGACAUGAUUGCACGGAACCACAAGCCGGCUUCUUUUCUGGAAUGGGUCCUCAGAUUUGGAGGUUAACGUUCGAAGACAGAGCAGAGCUGAUGCUUCCCGAGCCUGGACCGGUGGACAGGAGGCUGUGGCGAUCGGUAUGGAAGAGCUCCCAUUCCGUGGCUGCAGCGGCCACCUCUCCUCAAUUCGGUUAGACGUCCCCCAAGGUCAGAGCGUUCCUCGUUUAUUUUUUAAAAAAGGCGCCCAACAUAAAUUAAUUUUUUAAUUAAUAAUUUACCUUUUACCCGGUCUUCCAGUACCAGAACUACUGACUCACCCCUAUGCUCUAAAUUUUAGGUAUUUGUUUUUUUUUUAAGUAAAUAGACUGAGCUAGCGAUAUAAUUUAUAAUAAGGGUAGUUUCAUUGCCUACCAGUUAGGCGUUACUAAGUAGUGUAUUAUUACUUUCGAAAUUAUUUUCAAAAAGUAAGUUAAUUAAAAAGUUAUUUUCUAUAUAAA